CGACGUGAGGGAACCUGCCUUUCAGUGGGGGACAACAGUUGGAAACGACUGCUAAUACCGCAUAACAUAUCUGCAUCGCAUGGUGUGGAUAUCAAAGAUUUAUCGCUGAGAGAUGGCCUCGCGUCUGAUUAGCUAGUUGGUGGGGUAACGGCCCACCAAGGCGACGAUCAGUAGCCGGACUGAGAGGUUGGCCGGCCACAUUGGGACUGAGAUACGGCCCAGACUCCUACGGGAGGCAGCAG
This 242-nucleotide ribosomal RNA is filed under the name uncultured bacterium. Its description in RNAcentral is "partial 16S ribosomal RNA". It matches the Rfam family "Bacterial small subunit ribosomal RNA", at positions 113 to 354 of the family's 1533-position model. The record is from RNAcentral.